RNAcentral lists this ribosomal RNA (344 nucleotides) under uncultured bacterium. RNAcentral's name for it is "bacterial SSU rRNA". It matches the Rfam family "Bacterial small subunit ribosomal RNA", at positions 30 to 372 of the family's 1533-position model. The record is from RNAcentral.
AUUGAACGCUGGCGGCAUGCCUUACACAUGCAAGUCGAACGGCAGCACGGGAGAAAUCCUGGUGGCGAGUGGCGAACGGGUGAGUAACAUAUCGGAACGUGCCCAAUCAGUGGGGGAUAGCCCGGCGAAAGCCGGAUUAAUACCGCUAUACGACCUACGGGUGAAAGCAGGGGACCGCAAGACCUUGCGCUAUUGGAGCGGCCGAUAUCAGAUUAGCUUGUUGGGGGGUAAGAGCCUACCAAGGCGACGAUCUGUAGCUGGUCUGAGAGGACGACCAGCCACACUGGGACUGAGACACGGGCCCAGACUCCUACGGGAGGCAGCAGUGGGGAAUUUUGGACAAU